AAGGGAGAGUAAUACGUAGGUAUCUACCCUCGGGUCUGGGAUAGCAGCGGGAAACUGCUGGUAAUACCAGAUAACGUCUCCGGACCAAAGGUGUGAUUCCACCUGAGGAGGAGCCUACGGCCUAUUAGCUUGUUGGUGGGGUAAUGGCCUACCAAGGCAGAGAUGGGUAUGGGGUGUGAGAGCAUGCCCCCACUCACUGGGACUGAGACACUGCCCAGACACCUACGGGUGGCUGCAGUCGAGAAUCUUCGGCAAUGGGCGAAAGCCUGACCGAGCGACGCCGCGUGCGGGAUGAAGGCCUUCGGGUUGUAAACCGCUGUCGUAGUGGAGGAAAUGUAAGAGAGUUAUCUCUUUUACUUGACUAAUACUAGGAGGAAGGACCGGCUAAUCUCGUGCCAGCAGCCGCGGUAAUACGAGAGGUCCAAACGUUAUUUGGAUUUACUGGGCUUAAAGAGUUCGUAGGCGGCUAAGUAAGUGGGGUGUGAAAUCCCUCGGCUCAACCGAGGAACUGCGCUCCAAACUACUUAGCUAGAGGAAGAUAGAGGUAAGCGGAACAGAUGGU
This 562-nucleotide ribosomal RNA is filed under the name uncultured bacterium. RNAcentral's name for it is "bacterial SSU rRNA". It matches the Rfam family "Bacterial small subunit ribosomal RNA", at positions 102 to 674 of the family's 1533-position model. The record is from RNAcentral.